This 454-nucleotide ribosomal RNA is filed under the name uncultured Porphyromonadaceae bacterium. RNAcentral's name for it is "partial 16S ribosomal RNA". It matches the Rfam family "Bacterial small subunit ribosomal RNA", at positions 341 to 792 of the family's 1533-position model. The record is from RNAcentral. Lineage: Bacteria; Pseudomonadati; Bacteroidota; Bacteroidia; Bacteroidales; Porphyromonadaceae.
ACGGGAGGCAGCAGUGAGGAAUAUUGGUCAAUGGCCGGAAGGCUGAACCAGCCAUGCCGCGUGAAGGAAUACGGUCCUAUGGAUUGUAAACUUCUUUUGUACGGGAGCAAUAAGGCAUACGUGUAUGCUGAUGAGAGUACCGUACGAAUAAGCAUCGGCUAACUCCGUGCCAGCAGCCGCGGUAAUACGGAGGAUGCAAGCGUUAUCCGGAUUUAUUGGGUUUAAAGGGUGCGUAGGCGGUAAGGUAAGUCAGCGGUGAAAUGUCCUCGCUCAACGAGGGAACUGCCGUUGAUACUGUUUUACUUGAAUUCGGAUGCCGUGGGAGGAAUGUGUAGUGUAGCGGUGAAAUGCAUAGAUAUUACACAGAACACCGAUUGCGAAGGCAUCUCACGAAUCCGACAUUGACGCUGAGGCACGAAAGUGUGGGGAUCAAACAGGAUUAGAUACCCUGGUA